This 825-nucleotide ribosomal RNA is filed under the name uncultured Bacillus sp. RNAcentral describes it as "bacterial SSU rRNA". It matches the Rfam family "Bacterial small subunit ribosomal RNA", at positions 372 to 1189 of the family's 1533-position model. The record is from RNAcentral. Lineage: Bacteria; Bacillati; Bacillota; Bacilli; Caryophanales; Bacillaceae.
UGGACGAAGUCUGACGGAGCCCUGCCGCGUGAACGAUGAAGGCUUUCGGGUCGUAAAGUUCUGUUGUCAGGGAAGAACAAGUACCGGAUUAACUGCCGGUACCUUGACGGUACCUGACCAAAAAGCCACGGCUAACUACGUGCCAGCAGCCGCGGUAAUACGUAGGGGGCAAGCGUUGUCCGGAAUUAUUGGGCGUAAAGCGCGCGCAGGCGGUUCCUUAAGUCUGAUGUGAAAGCCCCCGGCUCAACCGGGGAGGGUCAUUGGAAACUGGGGAACUUGAGUGCAGAAGAGGAGAGCGGAAUUCCACGUGUAGCGGUGAAAUGCGUAGAGAUGUGGAGGAACACCAGUGGCGAAGGCGGCUCUCUGGUCUGUAACUGACGCUGAGGCGCGAAAGCGUGGGGAGCGAACAGGAUUAGAUACCCUGGUAGUCCACGCCGUAAACGAUGAGUGCUAAGUGUUAGAGGGUUUCCGCCCUUUAAUGCUGCAGCAAACGCAUUAAGCACUCCGCCUGGGGAGUACGGCCGCAAGGCUGAAACUCAAAGGAAUUGACGGGGGCCCGCACAAGCGGUGGAACAUGUGGUUUAAUUCGAAGCAACGCGAAAAACCUUACCAGGUCUUGACAUCCUCUGACAACCCUAGAGAUAGGGCGUUCCCCUUCGGGGGACAGAGUGACAGGUGGUGCAUGGUUGUCGUCAGCUCGUGUCGUGAGAUGUUGGGUUAAGUCCCGCAACGAGCGCAACCCUUGAUCUUAGUUGCCAGCAUUCAGUUGGGCACUCUAAGGUGACUGCCGGUGACAAACCGGAGGAAGGUGGGGAUGACGUCAAA